UUCUCUGCAAUCCGCGCACACAGCUCAUCGGUGGCUGCACGUCUGCUCGGCGUCGCAAUGCGGCCUGCGUCAUUUUCUGGUGCUCGCGCAAUCGGUGUGAAACAUGUCGCAUGUGAAAUGUUUGAUAGAAGUGCCUCACGUCCAAGUCAAGCCGCCGUACGGGUGUAUGGCUGUGCGCCCCGUUCUCGGAAGCGUCGACGGGUUUCCGGCAUGCGGAUUUCAGCGUUUGGACUCUACUUUUGGUGAGGAUGUCGAUCGACCUUGGGCCUGGCGACAGCACACCCGACAUCGCCAAAGUGCAGCCUAUCUGUUGAGUGCCCCCGAAUGGACCAUCAACAUUGGAAAAUGAAGCAGAGCCAGGGGGAAAAGGUUCCGGUAACACUGCAUUCAGUAUGGUGGCCCAGACGUGUAUGCAAGCAACCUCCUUCAUGUGGACCAAGAACUACUCUGCAGUGUCUCACAGACUUCCAUGCGAAGCCCUCAACAUUCUCGUCUCAGUGGAAUGGCUGCUCAUCUAUCUGCGUGUCCAUCACCAAGAUGGCCAGUUGUAAAGCUCCUGUACCCGUUUAAGACAGCUUAAUGAUUUUUUUUAUUUAGUUUUCAUGGUUGGCCGUAGAAUCUUAACAUUUUUGAUGUUUCUAACGUUUUUACCUGGCCCAAAGUGGUGCAAUAACUUUAAACCAGUGUAAUGUAUUUAAGUGAUGCUCACUCUAAUGCCUAUCUGGUUUUGUUUGUGUUUAAGAAAUUUGAAUGUCUGAUGAGGUAACAGCAUUUAAACUUGUCAUCGUGGCUCUUUUCAGUGAGCUGCUAGGAAAUAAGAUGCAAAACUUAUCACACGCCAGUUGUAGCAUUUUUGUUUUCAAGACUAAAGUAUACAUGUUUCAAAAGAUGGAAAGUGGGGAAAAAAGCCUCAAGAACAUAAUCAUCCUAGGAUUGUCAUGUCCUUACAACUCUGCAAUGACUAAUGCCUCAUACAUCUUGGGAGCACAUUGGUCGCAAUGCCUACAGGUAUACUUGAUAAGAGAAUAGCUUGCACUCAGAUUUGCCACGCAGUUGAUGGCUGAUAGCUUUUGUUUGUCGUCUUCAUGUUACUACUAUGUAUUCAAUAUUCAUUUACAUGUGCUGCGGUUUUUUGCAGUCACACACACACAC
Molecule: non-coding RNA, 1152 nt
Organism: Dermacentor albipictus
Lineage: Eukaryota; Metazoa; Arthropoda; Arachnida; Ixodida; Ixodidae
Source: RefSeq, a predicted model, not a curated record